Molecule: ribosomal RNA, 492 nt
Filed under: uncultured bacterium
Lineage: Bacteria
Description: partial 16S ribosomal RNA
Rfam family: Bacterial small subunit ribosomal RNA
Source: RNAcentral
AGUGAACGCUGGCGGUAGGCCUAACACAUGCAAGUCGAACGGAAGCACAGUAAGAGCUUGCUCUUACGGGUGGCGAGUGGCGGAUGGGUGAGGCAUACAUCGGAAUCUACUUUUUCGUGGGGGAUAUCGUAGGGACACUUACGCUAAUACCGCAUAUGAUCUACGGGUGAAAUCAGGGGUUCUUCGGACCUUGCGCGAUUGAUUGAGCCGAUGUCGGAUUAGCUAGUUGGCAGGGUAAAGGCCCACCAAGGCGACGAUCCGUAGCUGGUCUGAGAGGAUGAUCAGCCACACUGGAACUGAGACACGGUCCAGACUCCUACGGGAGGCAGCAGUGGGGAAUAUUGGACAAUGGGCGCAAGCCUGAUCCAGCCAUACCGCGUGAGUGAAGAAGGCCUUCGGAUUGUAAAGCCCUUUUGUUAGGAAAGAAAAACAGCAUAUGAAUACCCCGCUGUUCUGACGGUACCCAAAGAAUAAGCACCGGCUAACUUCGUG